Molecule: long non-coding RNA, 3151 nt
Filed under: Homo sapiens (human)
Lineage: Eukaryota; Metazoa; Chordata; Mammalia; Primates; Hominidae
Description: long non-coding RNA NONHSAT211897.1
Source: RNAcentral
AUCAAGUGCUGUACUUUACUACAAAUAUUAACCGGCAACAAUUGACCCUCUCUGGGACUUUCCAUUUAGUUAUUUACUGGAAGCUGUUCUGUAAUUUUCAGCAGUGCUGUUAUCUAUGAGAUUACUUUUCUUUUAGCUGUGCUGGGUUUUCAGACGCAUUAAUAUAGCUUAAUAUCUCUUCCUGUUGCUUCUCUAAUUAAAAGCUUGUUGGAUUUCCAAAUAAGAAAUAACAUACACAAGCACUGGUAAUUCAGGCUGCUAAUAAUUGGGAGAAAAACUUCAGCAAGGAACAGCAUCAACCAGGCAUGAGGGAUCUUAUGAUCCGGCAAAGAAAGAGGCCUAGGAGUCUGGGGAGGAUUGCAGGGCAGUGAUCUGGCUCUGAGCAGCUGGCCUCCCUGAGAGGGGCUGCUGCCGAUGAAGGACCGCCAACAGACAGCCUGAGUAUAGUGCAUGUGCCCUGUCCCAAGAUGGAUGUUUGAAUCCUGGAUCCAAGAGAAGAGCUCAUGUCUGUUUUUCCAAUCACUGCUUGUAUCCUUUCCUGCUUCCCCAAGUCCCUCAUUCCUCUCCUCCCGGCGGCUUUUGCCCUCUUUGGUCCAGGCCGCAGGAAACCGUUCCUCUAGUUCUAACAAUCGGCCACUAGAUGGCACUAGAUGUUCGGAUUAAAGUGCCUUCCUGAGCUCCACGGGCCCAGGGCGAGGGCAGGCAGGGUCUGAAGACAGCUUCUCUCGGCCACCGUCAUUCUCUCUCCCACUUCGCUCUUCACUUCUCAUCCCUUCCUCAUCCCAUUUAAACAUUAGAUUCCUUCCAGCAGCGGUGUUUGCGUGAUUUCAAAGGUAAGGACACAGAAGCCCAGGGAAUAUAAGUAACCUCCCAAAAAUCGCACAGCAGCUUGAGAAAAUCCUGAAGAUGGAUUCUGUUGGAACCAUGUUGGCUUAUCUGUCAUCUCUGGACUAAUCAAUGGGGACAGCAGGAUAAGAUCCAACUAGCACAAUGUCAAUGAUGAAAUGGACCAGUGUCAUAUUCUGCGGGAUAUCAAGGCAAUCAAGAUCAUCUUGGACUGUAUUGUGACAGAGGGCCAGGGAGUGAACAGAGCCCUUAUAAGGUUAUUGGAGUACAGGUGGUAUUUGGUUACGUGGGACAGAUCUCAUAUAUCGCAGCAACAAAGAUGGCCCCCAGGAGUUCCAUGGACCCUUAUUUCUCAUCAUUUAGAAGGAGAAAGCACCUCUUUCCUCAGUUCCUCUCUUCAGGACUCCCAGUACCCCUGCUUCUGGUGACAGCCCAUGGCAGGUGGGGAGGACGUGCAGAUGGAAAGAAUGAGAAGGGCAGGUUACUGGUAGACUGAAAAUAUUUUGGAUACAUCUGAAAAAUAUUUCCUUUUCCUUGCAAAAUGGCAAACCUCUCUUUUAAGCCUAUGGAAAGGACAUUUAAAUGAAAGAAUUCAAUAAGUGUUUAGUUUUAUGGAGCUCUUACUACUUUGGGCCCACAAUUAAAUCACAGGUUUGGGCCCUCAUGGGUGACAGAAAAGUACCAGAGUUCUGGUUCCUCUUUGAACACACAUGUUCUCUGGGUUUCGCCUUGCAGCCCAAGAAGAGAGGAGGCUUGGAAUCACCACACUUCCCACAGCAAGGGCAAUCUUUAAAGGCAGUAAGGUGUGACGCUCCAGACUGGCAGCUUGGCAAGACAGAGCCCAUGGAUACCAGCACACGGGAAUCUGGACGGCUCACUCUGACAGCAGUCAGCACUGGGAACAAAAGGAAUGGAGGGAAAAAAGCGCAAAUGUAUUUUUACAUAUUGUAGGCAUAUGGCCACAAGACCAGCAGAAAUAUAUUUAAUUACCAAUUGCACGCAUUGAGGAGAAAAACACUGGAAAUGGGGGAAAAACUGUAUACACAGCAAUAUUAUUCUAAUUUAACUUUUCACCUCAGUUUUUUUUUUCUUUCUUUAAUUGAAAAUGGAAGGGAAUGUGGGUUGGAAUCGCAAAGGGUUAUCUUCUGGAAUUCUAUCAAAGGUGAUGUGGGAUUUUGACAUGCCUUCUUUAACAGCAUAACAUUAUAGAAAGAAAUAGGAAAGUUUUCUUUUAGUUAUUUUAAUUAUGAAAUAAUUUGACCAAGGCGUUUUGGGGGAGUGGGGCAGACCGGAUUUGAAAUAUAACAGUUAGACAAUCUUACUGUCAUGUUAAAACUGUACUUUUGAUGUUACACAUUAGGCCUCAACAAUUAAUAACCUAAUCUUGAAAAAUUAUAUUCUUGUUCUUUUCUAUGAAAGCAGAAUACUUCAACCCCAUUUAUUGUCAGGUAUUGUCCUAGCCAGUGGAGGUACAGAGGUGAAUCAGAUGUCAUCCCUGCACUGAAGAAGCAUAGCCUAGGCUGGGAGACAAAUACACAUAUAUAUAAUUAUAAUGUUAUACCAUUAAAUUAUUAAAUAUGUGAAAAUUAUCAUUAGCUAAAAUCACAAUUAUAAUACACAUAAUACCAUCUAUAUAAGGCAAUGAUGUAGCUAUAUGAAUCCAGGGGCCAUAGAGGAUUGACUCUUAGUUCAGUCUGGGUGUCAGUCACACUGGAGGACCAGGGAGGAGACCUCUUCCAGGAAAAGCUGAUGAAAAGGAUCAGUGAGAAAAAGCCCGGGAAGAAGGCAGUUGCAUUUUGCAGAAUGAAGGAGUUUGGGCCAGUGUGAGCCAGCUCCCUUCCUAGGGUGCCGGCUCAGGGAGUCAGGUAAUGGGGCCAGGGAAACGUGUGCCCACUGACUUGGGAAAGAGAGAGGGGCCCAUACCUCCUUCUUGGCAGGAAAGAAAAUCACAGCCCCGAAAAAGUAACUUGCCAGGAGCCCCCUUCUUUGUAGCAUUCCUAUCACUGACUUCCUGUUAGCCUGGGUCUCCUGUUCUCACCCUGCUCUUUGAAAUCCUUGGUGGCCAGUGCCGGCUAUGUAGGUGACCUGUGCUCCCUGGUCCCAUGGAGGUUCUGCCCAGCUGACCAGCCUUGCAGUCUGUUUCUGCAGCCCAGAUAAUGGUUCAGAGGCAUGUUAAUGUGUGCUUUGCUUUAUGUAGCAAAUAUCAUCUUGAAAAGUUUUUUUGUACAUUUACUUUUUUUUUGUAAAGCGACCUACAUAAUAAAAGCACUAGGGGAGCUGGUUAUUUAAAGGAACCCUGUAGUGA